Molecule: ribosomal RNA, 484 nt
Filed under: uncultured bacterium
Lineage: Bacteria
Description: partial 16S ribosomal RNA
Rfam family: Bacterial small subunit ribosomal RNA
Source: RNAcentral
AUUGAACGCUGGCGGCAGGCCUAACACAUGCAAGUCGAGCGGAUGAAGGGAGCUUGCUCCUGGAUUCAGCGGCGGACGGGUGAGUAAUGCCUAGGAAUCUGCCUGGUAGUGGGGGAUAACGUCCGGAAACGGGCGCUAAUACCGCAUACGUCCUGAGGGAGAAAGUGGGGGAUCUUCGGACCUCACGCUAUCAGAUGAGCCUAGGUCGGAUUAGCUAGUUGGUGGGGUAAAGGCCUACCAAGGCGACGAUCCGUAACUGGUCUGAGAGGAUGAUCAGUCACACUGGAACUGAGACACGGUCCAGACUCCUGCGGGAGGCAGCAGUGGGGAAUAUUGGACAAUGGGCGAAAGCCUGAUCCAGCCAUGCCGCGUGUGUGAAGAAGGUCUUCGGAUUGUAAAGCACUUUAAGUUGGGAGGAAGGGCAGUAAGUUAAUACCUUGCUGUUUUGACGGUACCAACAGAAUAAGCACCGGCUAACUUCGUG